This 330-nucleotide microRNA precursor is filed under the name Prunus persica (peach). Its description in RNAcentral is "miR6295 stem-loop (ppe-MIR6295)". Lineage: Eukaryota; Viridiplantae; Streptophyta; Magnoliopsida; Rosales; Rosaceae. The record is from miRBase by way of RNAcentral.
UCAAAAAUGCUGAAUCAUCAUCUGUCCUCAAGCUCUGUUAUUCAAUAAGUAACUUGUCCUCCCCCACAGCUUACACAUUCUUUUUCUUUUUACUGUUGGUCAUUUUUAUCUCAUUUAUCUUUAGUUCACAUUUGACGAGGUGAGAUUUCUAAAUUGCAAAAGUGUCAACUCAUGAGAUUUUUACCAAGGGAACGCAAGUUGAGGUUAGCAGUGAUGAAGAGGGUUUAAUGGUACUUUGUUUGCUGCAACUAUAGUGGAAACUGUGGGGGAGGACAAGUUCCUUAUUGAAUACCAGAGCUUGAGGACAGAAGAUGAUUCAGCAUUUCUGAG